This 236-nucleotide ribosomal RNA is filed under the name uncultured bacterium. RNAcentral describes it as "partial 16S ribosomal RNA". It matches the Rfam family "Bacterial small subunit ribosomal RNA", at positions 118 to 350 of the family's 1533-position model. The record is from RNAcentral.
UGAGUAACCUGCCCUUCACUCUGGGAUAACUCCGGGAAACCGGGGCUAAUACUGGAUAUGACUCGAACAGGCAUCUGUUUCGGGCGGAAAGAUUUAUUGGUGGAGGAUGGACUCGCGGCCUACCAGCUUGUUGGUGAGGUAAUGGCUCACCAAGGCGACGACGGGUAGCCGGCUGAGAGGGCGAUCGGCCACACGUGGGACUGAGACACGGCCCAGACCUCCGUAACGGGGAGGCA